Molecule: ribosomal RNA, 498 nt
Filed under: uncultured bacterium
Lineage: Bacteria
Description: partial 16S ribosomal RNA
Rfam family: Bacterial small subunit ribosomal RNA
Source: RNAcentral
GACGGACGCUGGCGGCGUGCCUAACACAUGCAAGCCGAGCGGAGUCAGUAAGAGGAAGUUUUCGGAUGGAAUCUUAUUGAUUUAGCGGCGGACGGGUGAGUAACGCGUGAGCGACCAACCUUGCACAGGGGGAUAACGGACCGAAAGGUUCACUAAUACCGCAUGAGACCACGGUGUUGCAUGACACAGAGGUCAAAGGAGCAAUCCGGUGCAAGACGGGCUCGCGUCCGAUUAGGUAGUUGGAGGGGUAACGGCCCACCAAGCCUAUGAUCGGUAGCCGACCUGAGAGGGUGAUCGGCCACAUUGGAACUGCGAUACGGUCCAAACUCCUACGGGAGGCAGCAGUGGGGAAUAUUGGGCAAUGGGGGAAACCCUGACCCAGCAACGCCGCGUGAAGGAAGAAGGUUUUCGGAUUGUAAACUUCUGUCCUUGGUGAAGAGAAGAAGACGGUAGCCAAGGAGGAAGCCCCGGCUAACUACGUGCCAGCAGCCGCCGUAA